CUGACAGGCCUAGAGACUAAAUUCCUCUAUUUAUCCACAGAAACAAAUGCAGGUUUCUCUUCAUUGUCCCAUCAACGUGUCGCAACCUUGUCCUUAAGAAAAGAGCUCAGUCUCCAUGGCCCUCUCAAUUCUCUGUAAGA
This 140-nucleotide small RNA is filed under the name Chelonoidis abingdonii (Abingdon island giant tortoise). RNAcentral describes it as "TUC338 (ENSCABG00000001257.1)". The record is from RNAcentral. Lineage: Eukaryota; Metazoa; Chordata; Testudines; Testudinidae.